UACGUAGGGGGCAAGCGUUGUCCGGAUUUAUUGGGCGUAAAGAGCGUGUAGGCGGCUUUACAGGUCCGUUGUGAAAACUCGAGGCUCAACCUCGAGACGCCGGUGGAAACCGUAAGGCUAGAGUCCGGAAGAGGAGAGUGGAAUUCCUGGUGUAGCGGUGAAAUGCGCAGAUAUCAGGAGGAACACCCGUGGCGAAAGCGGCUCUCUGGGACGGUACUGACGCUGAGGUGCGAAAGCGUGGGGAGCAAACAGG
This 253-nucleotide ribosomal RNA is filed under the name uncultured bacterium. Its description in RNAcentral is "partial 16S ribosomal RNA". It matches the Rfam family "Bacterial small subunit ribosomal RNA", at positions 524 to 776 of the family's 1533-position model. The record is from RNAcentral.